CCAGGCCCUCCGGCCCCGGGCUGGCGGGUGAGCUGCAGGGCCCCGGGACUGGCCGUACCUCUGCCCUUCAGACACCGGAGGCCUCCGCUGUGGCUGCCCAUUGGCCUGGCCGGGCUCAGGCUUUGAAGCCGUGGUGAACCUCUGUACCCCACCCAACUUCGGUGAUUGAUGGCGGCGAUGGCUUCUCCCAGCCAAUACCCCAGCCUGGACGCUGCUGGCCACUGGGCCUCCUGGCCCAAGUGUGCCGGGCCUCGACAGAGCCCCAGCUGAGCUGCCCGGAUGCAACGCCUUUGGGUGGCGGCGGGAGGGGCGGACCAGGAACCAUGGUGGCCACUCGAAUGCUGCACAGCGAAGGCCGUUAGGUCACAGAGGGCCUGGGAAGGCGGCCUAAGGACGCAGGCAGGCUCGGCUGCCUCUUUAGGCCAUGGAGCCGUGCAGAUCCGGUUCCCCAGUGAUGACUCUGUCCUCAUUGGGCGAGACCUACCUAGGACAAAGGCCUAAACAGGCCUGGGAGGAGUCUGGAAAAGAGCAGGAGAGGAGAGGUGGUUGAUUUGCGUAUGAAGCCCCUGACCAGUCAUGGCUUUCCCACCAUUUUGCUGCUGUGUUCUUUUUGGUCCAGGAAAUCCUCCCACCAGCAAUUCAGGAAGCCUCUGGGAAAAAGCUAAAGAAGACCACUGUGAUUAAAACCCACUCAAUCUUUGCCAGCUGCCAUGAAGACAAGCCUAGGCCAGCUAGAUAAUGUAAGACACAUGGUCAGUCAAGUGACCCAUCUCCCAAGUUGAGAGACAAUUGCCAAACAAUGAAUGAGGCCAUCCUAGACUAGCCAGCCCCAAUUGACCCACCAGAAGACACAAACACAUGUGUGAGACCAGCUGAGAUCUUCAAAGCCUGGACAGAUAAGAACUUCCCAGAAAACCUAAAGACUUGUAGGCAGUAAGAAAUUGUUUUGUUUUAAGCCACAAAGUGUUUGGGUAGUUUGGUAUUUAGUCAUGGAUAACUGAUACAGGGACUGUAUUCAGUUCCUCAGUUCCUAUAUACCAUCCUUCUAUCAUCAUCGCAACUACUUUGUGAGAUUUUUGCAUCAUGGGCCCCAUUUUGCAAGUGAGGAAAGAAAGAUUUAAUGAAGUUAGAAGCAAUGGACUCAAGGUCAAGGGACUAGAAGUGGUACAGUCAAGGCUUUACUCAGUCUGUCUGUUCCAAAUUCUAUGUAGUUUAUACUAUGUCACACUACCAUAAGUAUAGUGAAAAAAAUGGCCUGUGGGUUGGUUGAUCAGGGUGUUUGGCUUUGCGACAAGAGUUGGGUGAAGUGGAGACAGGAGAACAGGCCGUCCAGGAGUGGGGCUCCAUGAAGGCCUGCACCAAAGUCUGAGCAAGAGAACCCCAAGAGUGAAAUCAAGAAAGGUCAAGUGGGAUGAUUCUUGUCUAACCUUCUUAAAUCAUGAAAGGAAGGAAAAGUUGAUCACCAAGUAAAAACAGGUCAGGAAACAAGGAGGGAUUUCAGGAAGAAAGAAUGACACAGGUGAGGGCUGGAAACAUGGUGAAUCAACAUUCCCAUCCAAAAAUGAUGUGACCUUAAGCGGGGAAGAAGAGAAAUGGUUUAAAAUUGGAAUAUCAUAGGCAAACUUGGGACAACACAGAAUUUCCAGUAGUUCCUCCCCCCACAAAACCCCCCUUGAAAGGAGAAAAACCUUUGGAAGAGAAGUCUGGAAAGAGCAUUGUAUCAGAGCCCAGGAAAAUCUGUGUCUUGAACUAUACCACGAAAUCCUUCAUACACCCUUACAUUGUUUCUUUGUUCAAGAUCCUUUCCCCUGCUGUGUAAGUAAGGGAAUUCCUCAAUGUUUUCUCUUUGGGAUUGAUGCUACUGCCGCUCAUCUAAUAAUUAUAACCACAUGGUAGGAUAAACCUUCUUCGCAUAUAGUAAAAUCACACUUCUAAUCUUUCUGUAGUUCAGUGAGACAUGAGACUAGUCCCGACCAGUAAGUUGUAAAGAUAAGUAUUAUGUGUCUUUUCCAUGCCAGAAUAUUUAAGGGAUAAACUGAAGACCCACCCAUCAGAGGUCUUUAUCCCUCUGGUGCAGGCACAACAUUCAAGAUAGUGGUUGUUCCAUCAACUUGGUUUCCUAAGUGAUAGUGUAUAGGAGAGUUUCCCUGUCAACCAGUGAUAAACUUUUGUUUUUUUAAACUACUGAGAAUGGAGGUUGGUUGUUACUGAAGCAGACCCUACUUUCUUCUGAAUAAGGAACCUUCUUCUCUUUGCUGGUCUAGAUGAAAACUUAUUAAAGUGUGUUAUUUGUAACAUCAGUCUUGAGAGGUUAUCUACUAAAAGAAUUAUAUUGUCAAUAAACUCUGGGCAACACUACCUACCCUACUCUCAUCUUAGAAAGUCUCUAUAAACACUUUGGAGCAAAUUGGAUGAUGCUAUUCUAGAAUCUGUCUUUGGCAAACGUCUAUUCUUUGGGUUUCCAGCACUGCAUGUAUGCAGCUUAUUUCUAAAUACCUAACUCCUCACUCUUAGAGGUCCUCACAUAGAAUGUUAUUCUGGCAUUUCCAGUUCAAUAUGGAAGAUCCCAUGAUCUUCCUGUAACUCAAUCUGCUCUGUUUUUAAUUCCUUUCACCGUAUUACUCCAAAGACACUAAGACACUUUCUAUAUUCUGUAUGUAUCUACAGUUCAAAGCUCUCUAAAGUCAUAAAAUUAGUCCAUCACUAUGUAUAUUAACCCAAGCAUGAAAAGUGGCUCAUAAUAUGUGUUAAUAAAGUUUAUUAAAAUGACUGGCCCCUGGGAAACACCUUAAAACUGUAAAGAUGUUUAUUCUGUCCUUUGAAAUAUGACAUACAUGGUAAAUACAUAGGUUUUAGAGUUCAGGAAAAUUUGGUAUGCUUUUCAGCUCUGCCUUCAUAUCUUGCAAACGUGGCACAUUAAUUUACCUGAGUUUUUUUGUGCAAUAGAGAUAAGAAUAUUAACACAUAAGGUAGUAGAUAUUAAAGUAUACCUUACAGUUUCAGCAAACUUGUAAAGAGUGCUUACAGUUUUAAGUUAUCUUGUCUUUCCUCCUGAACAAAUAAUGAUCUUUGCCAACAUGUAAGUGCUGUUGGUAAAAUUUGAGUUAUUAAUUUUCUAUGAAGGUUAUCUUUAAUGCCAUCUUAGAAAAUCUCACUGUAAUCAGGUCUUGACUGUGAUUCUAUUUUCUUAAUACCUUCCGAUUCUAGCCACAUAUUUCCUUCUCUCCUCAAUAUGUUGCCUCAUUUCUGGGCAUCAUCAUCCAUCAUUCGGAUCCACCACCAUUCUGACUGUUCCUUAACUGCUACUGGUCUUUUCAUUAACCUAUUCUCCACAUUGCUCCCAGAGUCAUCUUCCAAAAUGACAACUAACUCUCCUGAGAACUUUUGAAUGGGACCCCAUUGCUCUUAGAAUAAAGACCAAGCUCUCUUCAUGGCUUGAAUUACCAGAAGGGCACUUCAGAAUAUGCCUCUUUGAUUCUGUUAGCCUUAUCUCCUACCAGUCUCUUCUUUAAAUCCAACAUUUUAAUUAUACUGAACUGAUUCGAUUAUGCAAACAGGCUGUAUUUACUUGCAAAUACUACGUCCUUUACCAGGGACACAAUAUCCUAACCCUUCAUCUAGUCAACCUCAAUUCAUCCUUCAAGGUUUGGCUGAGAAACCCUGAAGAAGGUUUCCCUGUCCAAGAAAACUUCCCUCAUUCCCAUGGCACUCUGCUACACUCCAAUAUGUUCUAUGCACCCUGAUUAGAACGUGUAUCAGGUUACUAGUUUGCCUCUCCCACUAGGAAUUCUCUGAGGGCAGACAAAAUACUUAAGUAGGAACCCAGUAGAGAGAUGUGUUUUGAAUGAAUGAAUAAAUGUGUGCUUUCAGGAGCAGCAGCAGUCAUUAGUUUUAUUCAUUGAAUCGGUCACUUAAUGCUUCUUGAUCAUGUGGCAGAAUGUGCAUUCUUGCCCCAUUGUAGAUGGGCAAGUAAUUAGUUCUGGCCAACAAGACGUAAGUAUCAGCUGUGGGUUGAGCAUUUAAUUGUCACUGUUAAGUCACUCCAGAACUCUUUAUUCUUUGACACAGAGACAAGCAACAUUAAAGUUGGUGGCUGCUCCAUCAGCCUACAUCUCAUUAGGGACACAUAAGUAAGAAGUUAAUGUUUGCCAUUUUCAACAAUUGAGCUUUCAGGGUUGUCUGUAGCUCCAAAAUAAUCCACCCUGACUGACACAGAAGGUUUGAAGAAAAUAUGACCUAGUACAGUGAAGAAAGUGUAGAAGGAAGGGAAAAUGAUAGUGGAAAUCAGGUCCUGCUUGUUGUUAAGUCUGAGAACUCUCUUGGGAGGUUAAGCAGCAGCUGCUUCUGGGUGAAGGUAAGCAGCACUUGUAGGGGACCCAGGGGCUUUGCAGCUUUGCAAAGGCAUCUUUAAGGGUGGCUGACAUUUAUGAUCAACAUCAGGUUAUGACUGGGCAAAGAAAAAAGAGUUUAUACUGCAUGUUCUUACGCAUAAGUGGGUGUUGAACAAUGAGAACACAUGGACACAGGGAAGGGAACAUCACACACUGGGGUCCGU
Non-coding RNA from Callithrix jacchus (white-tufted-ear marmoset), 4555 nucleotides. The record is from RefSeq and is a predicted model, not a curated record. Lineage: Eukaryota; Metazoa; Chordata; Mammalia; Primates; Cebidae.